Molecule: long non-coding RNA, 457 nt
Filed under: Monodelphis domestica (gray short-tailed opossum)
Lineage: Eukaryota; Metazoa; Chordata; Mammalia; Didelphimorphia; Didelphidae
Description: lncRNA (ENSMODG00000034459.2)
Source: RNAcentral
GAUGUACAUUGGCCAUUUAUAAGUUCAAUCCCUCUAUUGAUUAAUGCAGUAGCUUUGACCAGUUUCAUUCCUGGCCUCCUCCUGUUGGUUUUCUGCUCUGAGGGGCUCAUUAUCAUGGGACCAGACUUAAUGUAGACACCUGAUUGGCUUAGCUCUCUGCAGCUCAGAACUACCUGGCUUAUGAGAUCCACCUGCUUUAGCCUCCCCCAACAGGAAUUACAAGUAUGUACUCACUACACUUCAUUUUAACAGAUGGAUUUGAUGAAAGCUCAAGAGAAGAGAGAUCUUGGAUUCUAGUUUCAAGAGAGAAGACAUGCAGUUUCAUACUUCAAGUUCCUGAAGGGAGAGGAAGACUGGAGAAAAGGUCAACAUGAGGAGAAGUCAUGAAAUUUUCCCUAUGCCCAGUUUAUCACAUUAAAGACUUUAGGAAAUUAUCCUUGAAAUUGUCUUGGUUGAA